Molecule: ribosomal RNA, 479 nt
Filed under: uncultured bacterium
Lineage: Bacteria
Description: partial 16S ribosomal RNA
Rfam family: Bacterial small subunit ribosomal RNA
Source: RNAcentral
GAUGAACGCUGGCGGUGUGCUUAACACAUGCAAGUCGAGCGAGAAGUUUUGAAAAGAUUCUUCGGAUGAAAUUUAAAAUGGAAAGCGGCGGACGGGUGAGUAACGCGUAGGCAACCUGCCCCAUACAAAGGGAUAGCAUUUGGAAACGAAUAUUAAUACCUUAUGAAACUUAACUAGUGCAUGCUAGGUAGGUCAAAGAUUUAUCGGUAUGGGAUGGGCCUGCGUCUGAUUAGCUAGUUGGUGAGGUAACGGCUCACCAAGGCGACGAUCAGUAGCCGACCUGAGAAGGUGAACGGCCACAUUGGAACUGAGACACGGUCCAAACUCCUACGGGAGGCAGCAGUGGGGAAUAUUGCACAAUGGGGGAAACCCUGAUGCAGCAACGCCGCGUGAACGAUGAAGGCCUUUGGGUCGUAAAGUUCUGUUCUAGGUGAUGAAAACUGACAGUAACCUAGGAGAAAGCCCCGGCUAACUCCGUG